GACGAACGCUGGCGGCGUGCCUAAUACAUGCAAGUUGAGCGCUGAAGGUUGGUACUUGUACCAACUUGAUGAGCAGCGAACGGGUGAGUAACGCGUGGGGAAUCUGCCUUUGAGCGGGGGACAACAUUUGGAAACGAAUGCUAAUACCGCAUAAAAACUUUAAACACAAGUUUUAAGUUUGAAAGAUGCAAUUGCAUCACUCAAAGAUGAUCCCGCGUUGUAUUAGCUAGUUGGUGAGGUAAAGGCUCACCAAGGCGAUGAUACAUAGCCGACCUGAGAGGGUGAUCGGCCACAUUGGGACUGAGACACGGCCCAAACUCCUACGGGAGGCAGCAGUAGGGAAUCUGCGGCAAUGGACGAAAGUCUGACCGAGCAACGCCGCGUGAGUGAAGAAGGUUGUCGGAUCGUAAAACUCUGUUGGUAGAGAAGAACGUUGGUGAGAGUGGAAAGCUCAUCAAGUGACGGUAACUACCCAGAAAGGGACGGCUAACUACGUG
This 497-nucleotide ribosomal RNA is filed under the name uncultured bacterium. Its description in RNAcentral is "partial 16S ribosomal RNA". It matches the Rfam family "Bacterial small subunit ribosomal RNA", at positions 28 to 507 of the family's 1533-position model. The record is from RNAcentral.